RNAcentral lists this ribosomal RNA (253 nucleotides) under uncultured bacterium. RNAcentral describes it as "partial 16S ribosomal RNA". It matches the Rfam family "Bacterial small subunit ribosomal RNA", at positions 524 to 776 of the family's 1533-position model. The record is from RNAcentral.
UUCGGAGGAUGCAAGCGUUAUCCGGAAUUAUUGGGCGUAAAGCGUCCGCAGGUGGCUGUGUAAGUCUGCUGUUAAAGAGUGAGGCUCAACCUCAUAAAGGCAGUGGAAACUACAUGGCUAGAGUGCGUUCGGGGCAGAGGGAAUUCCUGGUGUAGCGGUGAAAUGCGUAGAGAUCAGGAAGAACACCGGUGGCGAAAGCGCUCUGCUAGGCCGCAACUGACACUGAGGGACGAAAGCUAGGGGAGCGAAUGGG